AUUGAACGCUGGCGGCAUGCCUUACACAUGCAAGUCGAACGGCAGCACGGGAGCAAUCCUGGUGGCGAGUGGCGAACGGGUGAGUAAUAUAUCGGAACGUGCCCAGUCGUGGGGGAUAACGUAGCGAAAGCUACGCUAAUACCGCAUACGAUCUAUGGAUGAAAGCGGGGGAUCGCAAGACCUCGCGCGAUUGGAGCGGCCGAUAUCAGAUUAGGUAGUUGGUGAGGUAAAGGCUCGCCAAGCCGACGAUCUGUAGCUGGUCUGAGAGGACGACCAGCCACACUGGGACUGAGACACGGCCCCAGACUCCUACGGGAGGCAGCAGUGGGGGAAUUUUUGGACGAAUGGGC
This 350-nucleotide ribosomal RNA is filed under the name uncultured bacterium. RNAcentral describes it as "bacterial SSU rRNA". It matches the Rfam family "Bacterial small subunit ribosomal RNA", at positions 30 to 376 of the family's 1533-position model. The record is from RNAcentral.